GAUGCGUGUCCUUAACAGAAACAGGUUCGGGCGGAAUCUGGAGGUUGAAAAGCGGAUGCAAUUUCCGGCACGUAUC
This 76-nucleotide non-coding RNA is filed under the name unclassified sequences. The record is from Rfam.